Molecule: long non-coding RNA, 937 nt
Organism: Vicia villosa (hairy vetch)
Lineage: Eukaryota; Viridiplantae; Streptophyta; Magnoliopsida; Fabales; Fabaceae
Exons: 3
Source: RefSeq, a predicted model, not a curated record
CAACUUGGUCGAACUUGGUUCAACCCGACUUAGAUCGAUAAGAAUUGAAUCAUCUCUAAACUUGGGUGGGUCAAAAACUAAAAACUCCGUUUUAGUUUUAACAUUGGAGAAGCAGCUAGUAGCAUAAACAAUACUCCACAACUAGGGAAAAAACUAUGGCAUCAGCAUCCGUCAGAGAAAAUGAAUUUCUAUGGAAAUCGGAGCCCUAAUUUGAAUCCCUCGUCUCCGUCACGCUCACACUCUCCAUCAUUUCUCCUUUCACUGCUUGUCCCACCAAACUCCACGACUCUAUUUCUUGACUCUCAUCGUAUUCUCCUUCUCCUACAACUGAUUUUCUCUAUGAUUCUCUAUUGUUCUUCCAUUAUUUUACUACCGACACCGCCAAUCACAAUCGUUCAUUCGAUCAACUACUUGUUCCAAUCAUCCACAACGACUCAAAGCACGGUGGCCAGGCUAUGAUUCUCCUCAACUGACUUUUUUAGGAUGAACUUAUUUUCGUACCUGUUAUUCAAUCCCUUGCUAGUAUCAUCGCUAGAAACCAUGAUCGUCAUUUGUUGUUUGGUUGGUGUAUCCUUCUUAGGAGCCUUUGUUAUUCGUUGUUUGGUUGGUGUAUCCUUCUUAGGAGCCUUGUAGAUUACGAUAGUUAUGUUCAUCAAUCUAUGCUCGGUGGAAUAAGGGAAAUACAUGUUGAUUUAUUGAAGAUACACUCAACUUGCCUUCCUGAUUUGGCAGGAAUUGCGACUAAAGAAAGGUAUUCUCCUUAUGGAUGAAUCACUUUUGCCUUACAAAUUAUGGUAGUAAUGUUGUUCAGUGUAAAAUUUUACUUAUAUAUGCAAUGUAUGUAGCCGAGAGAAUGUUGUGUAUUUGUUUGUGUAAUUAGUUACCUUCAAUAUGGGUUAGUCAAUAUGUUUUUCUUAUAUAUCAUUAAUCUAAGGCU